UAAGCAGGGGGCUAGCGUUUUUUGUAAUUACUGGGCGUAACGGGCGCGUAGGCGGACCGUCUAGACAGGGGUGAAAGGCCUGGGUUCAACCCGGGAACUGCCUUUGAAACUGAAGGUCUAGAGUCCGAGAGAGGUUAGCGGAAUUCCCAGUGUAGAGGUGAAAUUCGUAGAUAUUGGGAAGAACACCAGUGGCGAAGGCGGCUAUCUGGCUCGGUACUGACGGUGAUGCGCGAAAGCGUGGGGAGCAAACAGG
RNAcentral lists this ribosomal RNA (253 nucleotides) under uncultured bacterium. Its description in RNAcentral is "partial 16S ribosomal RNA". It matches the Rfam family "Bacterial small subunit ribosomal RNA", at positions 524 to 776 of the family's 1533-position model. The record is from RNAcentral.